Molecule: long non-coding RNA, 791 nt
Filed under: Homo sapiens (human)
Lineage: Eukaryota; Metazoa; Chordata; Mammalia; Primates; Hominidae
Description: long non-coding RNA NONHSAT210732
Source: RNAcentral
GACAGGUUGUAAAGAAUGGUUCUCAGUGCUGCUUUCAUCAUGAAAGACUGAAGAAUCACUAUUGGCUCAUUUUAUAGGAAAGAAAUACUUUCACAGAAGAGCAUGCCUAUAGUAACUUUGGAAAUAUUCCACAUCUUGGAAGAGCUGGCUUAGGAUAUAAAGAAACUUGAAAAUAAAAAAAAAUGGCCUAAUCAGAAAAUAUUUAGUUUUUGCCAUAAACUAUAUCAAACAUGUAGACAUAGUACACAUGGACUUGCUUCUUUUGGUUUUCAGUGCCUGUAACUUAUUAAUAAAAGUCAGUGGAGAACAUCUAUCCUAAAAUGUUUAAAUAUUUUUAGCUUGAUUUAAGAUGCAUUUGGUUUGAAAUAGGAUAUGUGGUAUGUAAUGGAAAACUGAAAGUGACAUGAACAGAAAUAUUGAUAAUUAAGACAUAUCAGUUACAACAUACUCAUUGAUCUCAUUGAUUUGAAAGUAAUUUGCUCAGCAUAAUGUGUAUUAUCUUAACAUUAAUUUAUGGCUUCUUGCUGAUUGAGUGAAAUUCAGCUUAAAAUAAAUCACCAGUGUCUACCCUGACAGCAAUAGUAGGCAAAAAAAAGAGGACCGAAAACUGAGCAAUUUUUCUUCCAUAUGUCUCUAGACUCUGUAUCACUGUCGAUUUAAAAAGUCAAAUAUUUGUGCUCUGUCUGGCUCAACUAAAGUUAAGUGUGGCAUUGUACUGUUUGCUACCCAAUAAUCUGUGAUUAAUUUUCAGAAUGACCCUUUCUAUUUUUCUUCAUAUGUGAUUUGCCAAG